Molecule: ribosomal RNA, 774 nt
Filed under: uncultured bacterium
Lineage: Bacteria
Description: bacterial SSU rRNA
Rfam family: Bacterial small subunit ribosomal RNA
Source: RNAcentral
AGAGUUUGAUCAUGGCUCAGGACGAACGCUGGCGGCGUGCUUAACACAUGCAAGUCGAACGGAAAGCGCUCUUCGGAGUGACUCGAGUGGCGAACGGGUGAGUAACACGUGGGUGAUCUGCCCUGCACUUUGGGAUAAGCCUGGGAAACUGGGUCUAAUACCGAAUACACCCUGCUGGCUGCAUGGCCUGGUGGGGGAAAGCUUUUGCGGUGUGGGAUGGGCCCGCGGCCUAUCAGCUUGUUGGUGGGGUGAUGGCCUACCAAGGCGACGACGGGUAGCCGGCCUGAGAGGGUGUCCGGCCACACUGGGACUGAGAUACGGCCCAGACUCCUACGGGAGGCAGCAGUGGGGAAUAUUGCACAAUGGGCGCAAGCCUGAUGCAGCGACGCCGCGUGAGGGAUGACGGCCUUCGGGUUGUAAACCUCUUUCAGUAGGGACGAAGCGCAAGUGACGGUACCUAUAGAAGAAGCACCGGCCAACUACGUGCCAGCAGCCGCGGUAAUACGUAGGGUGCGAGCGUUGUCCGGAAUUACUGGGCGUAAAGAGCUCGUAGGUGGUUUGUCGCGUUGUUCGUGAAAACUCACAGCUCAACUGUGGGCGUGCGGGCGAUACGGGCAGACUGGAGUACUGCAGGGGAGACUGGAAUUCCUGGUGUAGCGGUGGAAUGCGCGAUAUCAGGAGGAACACCGGUGGCGAAGGCGGGUCUCUGGGCAGUAACUGACGCUGAGGAGCGAAAGCGUGGGGAGCGAACAGGAUUAGAUACCCUAGUAGUCC